This 238-nucleotide ribosomal RNA is filed under the name uncultured bacterium. Its description in RNAcentral is "partial 16S ribosomal RNA". It matches the Rfam family "Bacterial small subunit ribosomal RNA", at positions 535 to 769 of the family's 1533-position model. The record is from RNAcentral.
CAAGCGUUAAUCGGAAUCGACUGGGCGUUAAAGCGCUCGUAGGUGGCUUUGUAAGUCAGGUGUGUAAAGCCCACGGCUCAACCGUGGAAUUGCACUUGAUACUGCAUUGCUUGAGUUCGGGAGAGGGUAGUGGAAUUCCAGGUGUAGGAGUGAAAUCCGUAGAGAUCUGGAGGAACACCAGUGGCGAAGGCGACUACCUGGACCGAUACUGACACUGAGGAGCGAAAGUGUGGGGAGC